UCUAUUCUCCUUUCUUUAUCUUGAUAGCACUAAUAAAUCUUUUUUGUGUGUUUCACAUAGAGUUGAUGGCAUUCUUGCUCUAAUGUGCAAGGGCGCAGCCUCACCUCUUUUAAACGUCCAUCAAGAAUAAUCUUGGAGGCGCAAAGCUUCCUUGGCGAAAGAUAAGGUCAUUGGCCGUUAAGUUGCGUGGUGGGGGGCCAGGGAGCUGCGUGUCUGUCAGAAAUAGACUCUGUAUCUCUAUGAGAUCCCAAGCUAAACUUCAGAGAAAUCUUAUGUACCUUGCAGCUAUUGCUGAUUCACAGUCCCAGCCCCCAAGCAUGCAUUCACAGGUAACAUGCCUUAUUUCCUGGUUACUAGUCGGAGCUUUUUAUCGAAGAUUAGAAAGAUCCUUCAAUGCAAGGGUGUAGAGGCCAUUCUAGUAUCAGGAAGUCGAUCAACUCCUGGUAAACCAGAUAGCGAAAGCCAAGACACCAACUUGUCCAAAGUAAAAAACAAAAUUGUAGCAGGGCACUGGUUGAUGCUUUUAGUAGCAAUUAAAAUUGGGUUCUUGUUAAAGAUUAUUGAUGAUGGAAACAUACAGAUGGAUUGAUCUAGCUUUAAUGGAAAUGUGGCUCCUGUUUCUUCCUUA
Capsicum annuum is the source of this 628-nucleotide long non-coding RNA. RefSeq lists it as uncharacterized. Lineage: Eukaryota; Viridiplantae; Streptophyta; Magnoliopsida; Solanales; Solanaceae. The record is from RefSeq and is a predicted model, not a curated record. The transcript is spliced from 3 exons.